RNAcentral lists this ribosomal RNA (104 nucleotides) under Mesobacillus foraminis. Lineage: Bacteria; Bacillati; Bacillota; Bacilli; Caryophanales; Bacillaceae. The record is from RNAcentral.
GGCGAGAAGGUCACACCCGUUCCCAUGCCGAACACGGAAGUUAAGCUUCUCAGCGCCGAUGGUAGUUGGGGGUUUCCCCCUGUGAGAGUAGGACGUUGCCAGGC